GCCUGACAAAGGUAGCUCAGUUGGUAGAAUGUGAGACUCUUAAUCUCAGGGUUGUGGAUUCGAGCUCCACGGUGGGCA
Non-coding RNA from Podarcis lilfordi (Lilford's wall lizard), 78 nucleotides. Lineage: Eukaryota; Metazoa; Chordata; Lepidosauria; Squamata; Lacertidae. The record is from the annotation of a GenBank genome assembly.